This is a long non-coding RNA of Engraulis encrasicolus (European anchovy), 763 nucleotides long. RefSeq lists it as uncharacterized. NCBI's taxonomy places the organism in Eukaryota, Metazoa, Chordata, Actinopteri, Clupeiformes, Engraulidae. The transcript is spliced from 5 exons. The record is from RefSeq and is a predicted model, not a curated record.
CUUUCAAAAUCAAAUGGAAGGACUGGAACUUCAGAUGAGAUGAGAUCUGCCGAGAUGUGACUGCGCGGAUGGAGGCCAAAAUGGAUAAUCAGGACGAAGUCGGAGUGGAAAUAGGCCUACCGGCAGUGGAAGUCAAACACCCAUGUUGUAAAAAUGGGUUGUCAAAGUUUAUGGCCAAGCUGAUGUCCAUUACCAUGACAACGACACAAGUGUACUUCACGUUAAUACUGUUGAGCAUCCCUUACCAGCUGUACACGUUGUUAAACGAUUUUCGGUAUCACUUCAAAUUGCUUGACUAUCAUUUCCCCAGUCGCCGCCACACACUUUCUGUUAUGAUACUACACGUUGCGACGUUUUACUGGUCAUUAUUGGCAGGGAUAUACUCUUUUCAGUGUGGCCGCAAGAGGCAAGGCUGUUUGUUUGUGGUAGCAGUGAUUUUGAACCUGGGCACUUUUCUAACCAGGUGCAUUUUUGAGUUUAUGAUGUUGAAGUACAGAGAGGAAGUAUGAACCUACUGACAGCCACCACUGUCUCUCUGCUGCUCCAAUGCUUGUGAAGACCAUUCUUUCAAAAAGAUCUGAGGACUUUUUGAAACCAACACGCAGAGCACUUUACCUAUACCUGAACACAAUGUACUAAAUAAAGUGCACACAGAGCAGAAACAGCCAUGGCUGUGAUUUUUAAAAAUCUGAUUAGGUGGCGAGGGAAGAAUAACCGUUUCUACAUUUCACAAUGAAACGUCCAACUAGCCAAAGUGUACGUG